RNAcentral lists this ribosomal RNA (492 nucleotides) under uncultured bacterium. RNAcentral's name for it is "partial 16S ribosomal RNA". It matches the Rfam family "Bacterial small subunit ribosomal RNA", at positions 29 to 507 of the family's 1533-position model. The record is from RNAcentral.
AGUGAACGCUGGCGGCAGGCCUAACACAUGCAAGUCGAACGGCAGCACAGUAAGAGCUUGCUCUUACGGGUGGCGGGUGGCGGACGGGUGACAAAUACAUAGGAAUCUUAUUUUUCGUGGGGGAUAACGUAGGGAAACUUAUACUAAUACCGAAUAAGACCUACGGGUGGAAGCAGGGGAUCUUCGGACCUUUCGCGAUUGAAUGAGCCGAUGUCGGAUUAGCUAGUUGGCGGGGUAAAGGCCCACCAAGGCGACGAUCCGUAGCUGGUCUGAGAGGAUGAUCAGCCACACUGGAACUGAGACACGGUCCAGACUCCUACGGGAGGCAGCAGUGGGGAAUAUUGGACAAUGGGCGCAAGCCUGAUCCAGCAAUGCCGCGUGUGUGAAGAAGGCCUUCGGGUUGUAAAGCCCUUUUGUUAGGAAAGAAAAGCUGCAGGUUAAUACGCCGCUGUUCUGACGGUACCCAAAGAAUAAGCACCGGCUAACUACGUG